Small nucleolar RNA from Oncorhynchus gorbuscha (pink salmon), 67 nucleotides. RefSeq annotates it as small nucleolar RNA SNORD18. Lineage: Eukaryota; Metazoa; Chordata; Actinopteri; Salmoniformes; Salmonidae. The record is from RefSeq and is a predicted model, not a curated record. The transcript has a single exon.
CUACGGUGAUGAGCUUCUACUUGGUCCGUGUUUCUGAAUCCUGAUAUCUACCAGAAGUUCUGAGUUU